This 571-nucleotide long non-coding RNA is filed under the name Androctonus crassicauda. Lineage: Eukaryota; Metazoa; Arthropoda; Arachnida; Scorpiones; Buthidae. The record is from RNAcentral.
CGCUUAAUGAAGUAAAGCCAUUAAUUUUGAAUGCUUGUUGGUCUAAGCUGUGGAAGGAGUGUGUGAAUGAAUUGGCCCAUCAUAAACUUCCAGAGAUCAAGGAGGUAUAUAGUGAAUGUUGCAAAAUGUCUAGAUGAUGAAGGUUUGGCAGACAUAAAAGAUGAUGACAUAGGGCAAUUGCUGCAACCACACAAUGAGAAGUUGAUUAAAGUGGAAUUGGAGGAACUAAUCAGAUCUAAUGAAGAAGAGGAUGACAACAAAGAAGAUAAAGACAAAAAAGCAAAAUGAUUCUCAUAAUCUAAACUAAACAAAGGACUCUAAUGGAAAUAAUCUCUCAGAAUUUUUCCUUGAAAUCAAUCCCAACAUGAAGGAAAGUUUAAAAUUAAAAUAGGGUUUGGAAGAUUUGUUAACUCCAUAUGAACAGUUACAAAAAAGAGUUUCAGAAAAAAAUGAAGCAAAUAUCUCUUCUGAGCUACUUAGAGCAAUCUGCAAUCAUCUGAUAACAGCUCUCACUCUUCUACCAGCAUCUACUUAAAUAUCUAUCUAAACAUUUAUUUCAAUCAAAUUAUUU